CCUACGUGAGGCAGCAGUAGGGAAUCUUCCACAAUGGGCGAAAGCCUGAUGGAGCAACGCCGCGUGGGUGAAGAAGGUCUUCGGAUCGUAAAACCCUGUUGUUAGAGAAGAAAGUGCGUGAGAGUAACUGUUCACGUUUCGACGGUAUCUAACCAGAAAGCCACGGCUAACUACGUGCCAGCAGCCGCGGUAAUACGUAGGUGGCAAGCGUUAUCCGGAUUUAUUGGGCGUAAAGGGAACGCGGGCGGUCUUUUAAGUCUGAUGUGAAAGCCUUCGGCUUAACCGGAGUAGUGCAUUGGAAACUGGGAGACUUGAGUGCAGAAGAGGAGAGUGGAACUCCAGGUGUAGCGGUGAAAUGCGUAGAUAUAUGGAAGAACACCAGUGGCGAAAGCGGCUCUCUGGUCUGUAACUGACGCUGAGGUUCGAAAGCGUGGGUAGCAAACAGGAUUAGAUACCCGGGUAGUC
Molecule: ribosomal RNA, 465 nt
Filed under: uncultured bacterium
Lineage: Bacteria
Description: partial 16S ribosomal RNA
Rfam family: Bacterial small subunit ribosomal RNA
Source: RNAcentral